UACGAAGGGGGCUAGCGUUGUUCGGAAUUACUGGGCGUAAAGCGCGCGCAGGCGGUCUUCCAAGUCAGUGGUGAAAGCCCGGAGCUCAACUCCGGAACUGCCAUUGAAACUGUUGGACUUGAGUACGAGAGAGGUGAGUGGAAUUCCCAGUGUAGAGGUGAAAUUCGUAGAUAUUGGGAAGAACACCGGUGGCGAAGGCGGCUCACUGGGCUCGUAACUGACGCUCAGGCGCGACAGCGUGGGGAUCGAAACAAGG
RNAcentral lists this ribosomal RNA (256 nucleotides) under uncultured bacterium. RNAcentral describes it as "partial 16S ribosomal RNA". It matches the Rfam family "Bacterial small subunit ribosomal RNA", at positions 524 to 777 of the family's 1533-position model. The record is from RNAcentral.